GAUUUCUGGUUCGGCGUACUUGGCCCGCUCCGGUUUACGGGGUUGUGUGCCGGUGUGCGCCAUCCAUCCUUCGAGAAAUCAUUUCUGCCCUUCACUGGGUUGGAAGUGGAAUCUCGAUCUUUUACUUUGAAAAAAUUAGAGUGUUUAAAGCAGGCUUGCGGCUAUGAAUACAUUAGCAUGGAAUAAUAAUUUAGGACUUUGGCCCUAUUUUGUUGGUUUCUAGGACUGAAGUAAUGAUUGAUAGGGAUAGUUGGGGGUGCUCGAAUUCAGCGGCCAGAGGUGAAAUUCUUGGAUUCGCUGAAGACGAACUCAUGCGAAAGCAUU
Molecule: ribosomal RNA, 324 nt
Filed under: uncultured Cercomonas
Lineage: Eukaryota; Cercozoa; Cercomonadida; Cercomonadidae
Description: SSU rRNA
Rfam family: Eukaryotic small subunit ribosomal RNA (bases 107-324)
Source: RNAcentral